GAAUCUUAGACAAUGGGCGCAAGCCUGAUCCAGCAAUGCCGCGUGUGUGAAGAAGGCCUUCGGGUUGUAAAGCACUUUAAGUUGGGAGGAAAAGCUGAGGGUUAAUAGCCUUUAGUGUUGACGUUACCAACAGCAUAAGCACCGGCUAACUCCGUGCCAGCAGCCGCGGUAAUACGGAGGGUGCAAGCGUUAAUCGGAAUUACUGGGCGUAAAGCGCGCGUAGGCGGUUAUUUAAGUCAGAUGUGAAAGCCCCGGGCUUAACCUGGGAAUGGCAUUUGAGACUGGAUGGCUAGAGUAUGGUAGAGGUGAGUGGAAUUUCAGGUGUAGCGGUGAAAUGCGUAGAGAUCUGAAGGAACAUCAGUGGCGAAGGCGACUCACUGGGCCAUUACUGACGCUGAGGUGCGAAAGCGUGGGUAGCAAACAGG
RNAcentral lists this ribosomal RNA (425 nucleotides) under uncultured bacterium. Its description in RNAcentral is "bacterial SSU rRNA". It matches the Rfam family "Bacterial small subunit ribosomal RNA", at positions 359 to 776 of the family's 1533-position model. The record is from RNAcentral.